RNAcentral lists this long non-coding RNA (374 nucleotides) under Vulpes vulpes (red fox). Its description in RNAcentral is "lncRNA (ENSVVUG00000005140.1)". The record is from RNAcentral. Lineage: Eukaryota; Metazoa; Chordata; Mammalia; Carnivora; Canidae.
UGUUUUUAACAUUUACAAGUCCAUGCACUUUUAUACUUAUUAAAUACUUCUGACCUGAUAGCAGCUAUUUGCAUUUAGGGGGUUACCUUUAACGUGUAAACCUUGCUGAUUCACUGUACUGAAUGGCAGAAGGCUUACUUCAUAAUGAUGCACUAUUAACUGACCCAGAAAGACUUACUUUUCCCCAAGAUGGGAAUAAAAGAGAUCAGAUGAUGACAGCAGUGUCCUCAAUAGCCAAGCCCCAGUAUCACCAACUUCCAAACCGGCCCUCAUCUAUCAGCUGGAGCAAGGAAGAGAGCUGUGUUUCAACAGCCACAGGGAGCACUAAGCAGGAGGAGCAGGAGAGCUGGCUCAAAAGGACUAGGAGCAGCUGA